GACGAACGCUGGCGGCGUGCUUAACACAUGCAAGUCGAACGGAAAGGCCCUGCUUUUGUUGGGUGCUCGAGUGGCGAACGGGUGUGUAACACGUGAGUAACCUGCCCUUGACUUUCGGAUAACUUCAGGAAACUGGGGCUAAUACCGGAUAGGAGCUCCUGCUGCAUGGUGUUGGUUGGAAAGUUUCGGCUGUUGGGGCUGGACUCGCGGCUUAUCAGCUUGUUGGUGGGGUAGUGGCUUACCAAGGCUUUGACGGGUAGCCGGCCUGAGAGGGUUACCGGCGACAUUGGGACUGAGAGACGGACCAGAAUCCUACGGGAGGCAGCAGUCGGGAAUAUUGCACAAUGGGCGGAAGCCUGAUGCAGCAACGCCGCGUGCGGGAUGACGGCCUUCGGGUUGUAAACAGCUUUCGCCUGUGACGAAGCGUGAGUGACGGUAAUGGGUAAAGAAGCAACGGCUAACUACGUG
Molecule: ribosomal RNA, 468 nt
Filed under: uncultured bacterium
Lineage: Bacteria
Description: partial 16S ribosomal RNA
Rfam family: Bacterial small subunit ribosomal RNA
Source: RNAcentral